RNAcentral lists this ribosomal RNA (253 nucleotides) under uncultured bacterium. Its description in RNAcentral is "partial 16S ribosomal RNA". It matches the Rfam family "Bacterial small subunit ribosomal RNA", at positions 524 to 776 of the family's 1533-position model. The record is from RNAcentral.
UACGUAGGUGGCAAGCGUUAUCCGGAUUUAUUGGGCGUAAAGAGAACGCAGGCGGUCUUUUAAGUCUGAUGUGAAAGCCUUCGGCUUAACCGGAGUAGUGCAUUGGAAACUGGGAGACUUGAGUGCAGAAGAGGAGAGUGGAACUCCAUAUGUAGCGGUGAAAUGCGUAGAUAUAUGGAAGAACACCAGUGGCGAAAGCGGCUCUCUGGUCUGUAACUGACGCUGAGGUUCGAAAGCGUGGGUAGCAAACAGG